Molecule: ribosomal RNA, 33 nt
Filed under: Agroathelia rolfsii
Lineage: Eukaryota; Fungi; Basidiomycota; Agaricomycetes; Amylocorticiales; Amylocorticiaceae
Also listed under: 3 other names
Description: Athelia rolfsii partial 18S ribosomal RNA
Source: RNAcentral
CUUCCGUAGGUGAACCUGCGGAAGGAUCAUUAU